CGUACGAUGUGAUUGAAGUGUGCCUUAAGCGUGCUUCCGAGCUACGCGUUAAUCGCCGCCUGGGAGUCGGCCGCAAGUUAAACUCAAAUAUGACGGGGGCCCGCACAAGCGGUGAGCAUGUGGUAUAUUCGAUCAACGCGAAGACCCUACCUGGUCUUACAUCCACAGAACUUUCCAGAGAUGGAUUGGUGCCUUCGGGAACUGUGAGACAGGUGCUGCAUGGCUGUCGUCAGCUCGUGUUGUAAAUGUUGGGUUAAGUCCCGCAACGAGCGCAACCCUUAUCCUUUGUUGCCAGCGGUCCGGCCGGGAACUCAAAGGAGACUGCCAGUGAUUAACUGGAGGAAGGUGGGGAUGACGUCAAGUCAUCAAGGCCCUUACGACCAGGGCUACACACGUGCUACAAUGGCGCAUACAAAGAGAAGCGACUGCGCGAGAGCAAGCGGACCAUCAUAAAGUGCGUCGUUAGUCCGGAUUGGAGUUCUGCAACUCGACUCCAUGAAGUCGGAAUCGCAAAUAAUCGUAGAUCAGAAUGCUACAAGUGAAUACGUUCCCGGGCCUUGUACACACCGCCCGUCACACCAUGGGAGUAGGUUGCAAAAGAAGUUAAGGUAGGCAUAACCUUCGGGAGGGGCGCUUACCACAAUGUGAGAUCAGUGACUGGGGUGAAGUUCGUAACAAGGUAACCUCAGUCAGUC
This 695-nucleotide ribosomal RNA is filed under the name uncultured bacterium. Its description in RNAcentral is "bacterial SSU rRNA". It matches the Rfam family "Bacterial small subunit ribosomal RNA", at positions 801 to 1512 of the family's 1533-position model. The record is from RNAcentral.